AGUGAACGCUGGCGGUAGGCCUAACACAUGCAAGUCGAACGGCAGCACAGAGGAGCUUGCUCCUUGGGUGGCGAGUGGCGGACGGGUGAGGAAUACAUCGGAAUCUACUCUGUCGUGGGGGAUAACGUAGGGAAACUUACGCUAAUACCGCAUACGACCUACGGGCGAAAGCAGGGGAUCUUCGGACCUUGCGCGAUUGAAUGAGCCGGUGUCGGAUUAGCUAGUUGGCGGGGUAAAGGCCCACCAAGGCGACGAUCCGUAGCUGGUCUGAGAGGGUGAUCAGCCACACUGGAACUGAGACACGGUCCGGACUCCUACGGGAGGCAGCAGUGGGGAAUAUUGGACAAUGGGCGCAAGCCUGAUCCAGCCAUACCGCGUGGGUGAAGAAGGCCUUCGGGUUGUAAAGCCCUUUUGUUGGGAAAGAAAUCCAUCUGGUUAAUACCCGGGUGGGAUGACGGUACCCAAAGAAUAAGCACCGGCUAACUUCGUGCCAGCCGCCGCCGUAA
RNAcentral lists this ribosomal RNA (506 nucleotides) under uncultured bacterium. RNAcentral's name for it is "partial 16S ribosomal RNA". It matches the Rfam family "Bacterial small subunit ribosomal RNA", at positions 29 to 523 of the family's 1533-position model. The record is from RNAcentral.